CUACUAUCCACACUAAAAAUCACAUCUUCUGCUUCUGGACCCCAUGGAGUGGUGGGUAGUAUUUAAAUAUUAAGUCUAAAGAAGGAAAUCUGAGAAGCGUCAAAAAAAUGCCUUAAGAAAACAGUGCCAUGAGUUUACCUCACUAAACUACGUCUAUGUAUGAUGCACUUUAACUUACAAGGCUCAUUGUCAAUUUAACCUACACGUGGAACGACAAACAUUUUCUAAACUACUUUAGAAAUAUUUUAUUUAUUUUUAGAAAUUUGCUAACCUCAGGUUUUCCAAUUCUAAAACUCAUUCUUUCCCCAAUUCAAAACUACAUUCCACUGAAUACUUUGCCCAAGCUUUAGUGUAACAUAACUUUGAACUGUAUUUGUCUUUGAAUUAUCUUUGUCCCUCAUCUUUUACUGUUUCAAAACAAUUUAGUAGCAAAUCCCGGCCAUCUUCUAAUUUUUCAUUUAAAAACAUCCUUACAUAUUUUCGUACACUUCACAGAACACUUUGAUUGCAUAAUGUCUGGCAUAAGCCUAUUUCUAUCUUGACUAUCACAUAUUUAUUCCAAACCCUGUUUUUUUCUCAUCACAGCUCCCUCUUCUUCAAAUCCAAUUCCGUGUAUAAAUCCUCUUUAUUUUGGUCAUGAAGGCUAUAUUGUGGUUUCCUAUGACAUCACAUAUCAGAUCAAAAUUCUGGACUUUGCUUUACAGACCUUUACCAAAAUGCACUAACUUACCUGCUUUCCCUUUCUUUCAGCUCUCAGUCAAUCUUCCUCCCUGACUUGAGGCAAACGUGUUUUUCAUACUCCAGAUGAACUUUUAUUCCCAAACUAAACGUCAUUCUCUUCUUCAUUCAGCAGACUGUCAUCUGCCUUUCAUCCCAAUGCCUCCUCGAUGCUCCUUCGAAUAAAGGAUGCUAAGAGUAGGCUUAGUAUUCUUUUCCAUUCCCUUCUCUGUCAGGAAUUAAAUUUUAUUCUAUUUUCUUUGGCUAUUGCCUCAGAAAUGCAGCUAUGCUAGGUUAGACUACAAUAGAAUUGAGGUGAAGUCCUUUCUGAUUCUAGCUUAGUACAAAAGCCAUCUUUCAGGAUAAAGUGCUGUAGUGCAGAGCAUAGGAAAGGAGCAUCUUUGUUCUAGAAAUCUAGUGAAUACGUUUACACCUUUUUACAUCUUACAAUACAUUGCCGUGUCCAUUCUCUCAUUUGACUCAUAAGAAUCGUGGGAGGCAGUCCCUGUUUUUAGUGGGAGAGAACCUGAAGCUCUAGUGUAAUGCAAUAUUCAAGAGGAUAGACUUUGGAGUCAGGAAGAGCUGAGUUUGAAUUAUUACUACAAUAUUUAUACCUGUGUGGCUUUGGGUAAAUUAUUCAUAUCUCUGAACCUAAACUGUCUCAUAAAAUGGGGACAGUAAUAACUACGUAAUAUACUGCAUAUAAAGAGCGUCACAUGUAAAGUGGAUUGCUUGGCACAAGCAAACACCUAAUAAAUAGCAACACGUUAAGGGAUUUGCCAAAGACACACUUUUAGAACAUGCCAGCAAGCACCUGAAACCACGAUUUCGGACUCCAAACCCACGCUUUCCACUAUUCCUGCUUCUGAGCACACUGAUUUAAUUAAACUACUAACUUGACGGAUGACCUUGAGCAAAAUACUUCUCUGAGUCAGUUUACUCAUCUGUAAACUGAGUCUUUUCGGACUUUCAGAAUCUAUGCCAGCGACAUUAGAUUUUUUUUUUUCUUUCUGUAGCGUCGUAGGGGUGAGGUUCAGGUUCAUUAUAUAGCCAAGACCUGUAUAAUCAUAAGCUGUGCACAUUGCAGCGGACUUUAUUCCCACACUCGUAUAUCGUUCAACAUUUAGUUUUGUGUAUACACUCAGCUGUUGCCCGUCUUCAGUCUGCCUAUCAGCGUCUCGUGAAGGGGACACCCAGACCUAGCUUUAUUCAUUUAUAUCCCUGCUUGUUCCCGAAAGGAUUUAAGGCGGCAAAUGACACUGUAAGUUCCCUAACGAUGUCACACAGUGCGAGCAAUAAAGACUCUGGAUGAAAUCAGCCCGUAGAAAACCUCCGAUGAGUGAGAUGUUCACUAAUGUCUUUUACCUAACUCUCAAACGUAAACACGGAUACACCUAGCCCGAAGUCCUGGAAGCACACACUUAAGGUUCUUCCCUCAGCUUUCACGCUGUCCCACCCGUUGUCAACGGUCACUCGAAUGCCCUUCUCCGACUAGCCAAAACUGUCGCCGCUCCAGUCCCGGCCGGACCCGAGAUGCCACCCCGCCCCUUCCCUCCCUCUCAGCCCCAAGUUCCCUGAUUGGGAAGGGGCCCGGAGAGCUUUCCCACAUUUCCAUUUUAUUGGCUGCCACGGCUGUCCGUAAUCUCUGCUUCCCGCCUUCCCGCCUAGCGCGUUUCUUGGACCCCUCGGUUGCUGCGACAAGCCGCUUACGUUUGCCUGAGCCGUGUUGCCGGGGACCGGCGACCUUUCACCCCUCCCUUCCCACCGGAGCGCCCCGGCCCGCCGCCGCCCCCGCCGCCGGCGCGCGCCCCCGCGCACACGCACGCGCACAC
This 2549-nucleotide long non-coding RNA is filed under the name Equus caballus (horse). RNAcentral describes it as "lncRNA (ENSECAG00000055650.1)". The record is from RNAcentral. Lineage: Eukaryota; Metazoa; Chordata; Mammalia; Perissodactyla; Equidae.